GCUCAGGAUGAACGCUGGCGGCGUGCCUAAUACAUGCAUGCAGUCGAGCGAAUGGAUUAAGAGCUUGCUCUUAUGAAGUUAGCGGCGGACGGGUGAGUAACACGUGGGUAACCUGCCCAUAAGACUGGGAUAACUCCGGGAAACCGGGGCUAAUACCGGAUAACAUUUUGAACCGCAUGGUUCGAAAUUGAAAGGCGGCUUCGGCUGUCACUUAUGGAUGGACCCGCGUCGCAUUAGCUAGUUGGUGAGGUAACGGCUCACCAAGGCAACGAUGCGUAGCCGACCUGAGAGGGUGAUCGGCCACACUGGGACUGAGACACGGCCCAGACUCCUACGGGAGGCAGCAGUAGGGAAUCUUCCGCAAUGGACGAAAGUCUGACGGAGCAACGCCGCGUGAGUGAUGAAGGCUUUCGGGUCGUAAAACUCUGUUGUUAGGGAAGAACAAGUGCUAGUUGAAUAAGCUGGCACCUUGACGGUACCUAACCAGAAAGCCACGGCUAACUACGUGCCAGCAGCCGCGGUAAUACGUAGGUGGCAAGCGUUAUCCGGAAUUAUUGGGCGUAAAGCGCGCGCAGGUGGUUUCUUAAGUCUGAUGUGAAAGCCCACGGCUCAACCGUGGAGGGUCAUUGGAAACUGGGAGACUUGAGUGCAGAAGAGGAAAGUGGAAUUCCAUGUGUAGCGGUGAAAUGCGUAGAGAUAUGGAGGAACACCAGUGGCGAAGGCGACUUUCUGGUCUGUAACUGACACUGAGGCGCGAAAGCGUGGGGAGCAAACAGGAUUAGAU
This 784-nucleotide ribosomal RNA is filed under the name Bacillus cereus. RNAcentral's name for it is "bacterial SSU rRNA". It matches the Rfam family "Bacterial small subunit ribosomal RNA", at positions 22 to 783 of the family's 1533-position model. Lineage: Bacteria; Bacillati; Bacillota; Bacilli; Caryophanales; Bacillaceae. The record is from RNAcentral.